Long non-coding RNA from Piliocolobus tephrosceles (Ugandan red Colobus), 1820 nucleotides. The record is from Ensembl. NCBI's taxonomy places the organism in Eukaryota, Metazoa, Chordata, Mammalia, Primates, Cercopithecidae.
AAAAUCGAGUGUAUAUACAUACUGGUCUUACUUUGUUCAUUUUUAUCAUUAAAAUACGAAACUUGCUCGGAUUUACUACUUACAUAUGUGUAAUUUUAAUGCCCCCUUAAUAAUUUUCGAAAAUUACAAAGGUAUUCACGUACGUACAUAUAUAUUAACAUAUAUAUUAACAUACAUAUUAACAUAUAUAUUAACAUAUGUAUAUGUUUCCAUGUAAACACACGCGCAAAUGCACGAACAAACACCUACAAUCUGUAGACAUAUACGUCGACGCUUAAGUUGUAUAAAUGUUUUUAUACAUAUUUGUCGCUUUUAAUCUUUUUUUUUUUUUUCUCUUCUUUUAUCUUUUUUUAAAUUAUAAUUUAUAAUUAUUUAUCUUUGUAAAUACUUACGUAAAUACGAUUAGAUUUACUUAUAGUUUGAAUGUUGUACACUUUUUUUUUCUUUGUUUUUGUGCUAGCCGAUUAGGAACUUUUUUUUUUUUUUUUUUUUUUCGUGCUAGCUAAUUAGGAACUUUUUUUUUUUUUUUUUUUUUUUUUUUUGUGCUAGCCAAUUAGGAACUUUUUUGUUUGUCUAUAUUCAAAAUGAACAGAUUAUUUGCAUUUUUAUUUGCCUUCAUUGUAUUAUUUCAUUGCUUUAUUCAAAUCUUAGCUUUAAAAAAGGUUGAGGACAGAUUAAAAUUUCUGAACAAUACGGAUGGAGCUGUUUCUUUAAGCCAUAUAAUGAAAUAUAAAGAUGAGAUAGAAUCACAGCUAAACACGUUCAAAACAAAUGAAAAAAUCUCCCAAAAAAUGGAUUUCGAUUUAAAUGAACUAAACGCUAUCGUAUCCCUUGUAAGAAAUUCACAAGAACAACAGAAACAAAGUUUUUUAACAUUUUCUAAAAUGUUAAAUCAAACAAAAAUAUCAUUAAAUAAAAUGCUUAGUGAAUACGAAAAUAGAAUAUCUCAGCUAGAAUAUAAUAUAAUGGAUAUAAAAAAAUAUGAUCCGUUCAUAGAAAAAUAUACAUACCCGAUAUCAAAAUAUUGGUUAAAAAUCGAUUUUCAUAAUUUCAAAUCUAUAUGGAAAUAUAAAAAAAACAAAAAUUAUUUUUCAAUUAUUCAAGAUAAUGAUAUAAAUAAUUUAAAAACACCCGUAACCAUAUUAUUAUUAAAACAUCACAAAAUUAUUGAUGGUUUUUUUAAUGUAGAUAUUUUACAAACACACAGUUCUACAACAGAUGUACAAAAUGUUGCUUCAUCAGGCAUAGUUUUUCAUUUUAUUAAUCAGUACAAGUAUCGAUUUAUCGAGUUAUCACAUUUUAGUACACAAGCAGCUAUAACAGUUGGUGAAAUCGAUAACGGUGUCUAUAAGAAAAUACUAUCUAGGAGCGUCGAAACCAAUGCCAACGAAUUUAAUUCUUUGACAUGCAAAUUCAAUAAUAAAAAAAUGCAUAUUUAUUUAAAUUAUAGAAAAAUCAUAGAAAUAAAAGGUGUUGAAAGUAAUAAUAAUAACUCUGUAGGAUUAUUCACAAAAAGUGGUAUAUCAGAAUUUAUAAAUAUAGUGUCAGGAAAUUUAUAUUUUAUAAAAAUAUUAAAAAAUAAAAAAAAAAAAAAAAAAAAGAAACAAAAUGCAAGGACGCAAAACAAAAUGCAAAGAAGCAAAACAAAAAUUUAUCUUCGAUUUAUAACAAACAUACAACACUUGAAUAAAUUUUUAUUAUACCACGUGUAUAUAUGUACUUACACAUGCACAUAUAUAUAUAUGCAUUUUUAUUUAGUAUGAAUAAGAGAAAUGAUUUAAAAAAAAAAAAAUAAAAUAUGAAUAUUUAUAAUUUUAUCA